AGAGAAACUCCAGGAGUGCUACAAAGGAGAACAAUGUGUCCGUAUCAUUAUGGAGCUUAAAAAUGUACCAUGUGGAUGACACUUAUAUCUCCAAGACCUGCUGCCAGCUUGAGAUAUGACCUGCUCCUCUUGGAUCACACCUAUGCCAGGAUCUGUGUGCUGACCCUGAGGAAAUACUUUUCUUUGUUCCAUUGAAGCUCAGAAUUUCAUUUCAGUGGUGUUGAUUUUUAUGAUAGUGUGAUGGUUUACGUAUGCUUGGCCCAGGGAGUGGCACUAUUAGAAAGUAUGGCCUUGUUGGAGGAAGUGUGUCACUGUUGGGGGUGGGUUUGGAGACCCUCCUCCUAGCUGUCUGAGGAUGCUCAGUCUGUUCCUGGCUUCCUUUGGGUGAAGAUGUAGAACUCAGCUCCUCCUGCACCAUGUCUGCCUGGAUGCUGUGAUGCUGUCAUGCUCCCACCUUGUUGAUAAUGGACUGAACCUCUGAACCUGCAAGCCAGCCCCAAUUAAAUACUGUCUUUUAUAAA
This 521-nucleotide long non-coding RNA is filed under the name Rattus norvegicus (Norway rat). Its description in RNAcentral is "long non-coding RNA NONRATT004325". The record is from RNAcentral. Lineage: Eukaryota; Metazoa; Chordata; Mammalia; Rodentia; Muridae.